AGUGAACGCUGGCGGUAGGCCUAACACAUGCAAGUCGAACGGCAGCACAGUAAGAGCUUGCUCUUACGGGUGGCGAGUGGCGGACGGGUGAGGAAUACAUCGGAAUCUACUUUUUCGUGGGGGAUAACGUAGGGAAACUUACGCUAAUACCGCAUACGACCUACGGGUGAAAGCAGGGGAUCUUCGGACCUUGCGCGAUUGAAUGAGCCGAUGUCGGAUUAGCUAGUUGGCGGGGUAAAGGCCCACCAAGGCGACGAUCCGUAGCUGGUCUGAGAGAAUGAUCAGCCACACUGGAACUGAGACACGGUCCAGACUCCUACGGGAGGCAGCAGUGGGGAAUAGUGGACAAUGGGCGCAAGCCUGAUCCAGCCAUACCGCGUGGGUGAAGAAGGCCUUCGGGUUGUAAAGCCCUUUUGUUGGGAAAGAAAAGCAGCAGGUUAAUACCCCGCUGUUCUGACGGUACCCAAAGAAUAAGCACCGGCUAACUUCGUG
This 492-nucleotide ribosomal RNA is filed under the name uncultured bacterium. RNAcentral describes it as "partial 16S ribosomal RNA". It matches the Rfam family "Bacterial small subunit ribosomal RNA", at positions 29 to 507 of the family's 1533-position model. The record is from RNAcentral.